AACGAACGCUGGCGGCGUGGAUAAGACAUGCAAGUCGAACGGGACUAAAUCUGUAGCAAUACAGGUUUAGUUUAGUGGCGAACGGGUGCGUAACACGUGGGCAAUCUGCCGAGAAGUGGGGGAUAGCUCGCCGAAAGGCGAAUUAAUACCGCAUAUGAUCAGUGAAGACAUCUUCACGACAUCAAAGCCGGGGCAACCUGGCGCUUCUUGAUGAGCCCGCGGCCUAUCAGCUAGUUGGUGAGGUAACGGCUCACCAAGGCUAUGACGGGUAGCUGGUCUGAGAGGACGACCAGUCACACUGGAACUGAGACACGGUCCAGACACCUACGGGUGGCAGCAGUCGAGUAAUUUUUCUCAAUGGGGCAACCCUGAAGGAGCGACGCCGCGUGGAGGAUGAAGGUCUUUCGGGUUGU
This 413-nucleotide ribosomal RNA is filed under the name uncultured bacterium. RNAcentral's name for it is "bacterial SSU rRNA". It matches the Rfam family "Bacterial small subunit ribosomal RNA", at positions 29 to 426 of the family's 1533-position model. The record is from RNAcentral.